AGAGAGGGAGAGGGUUAGUGAGUUCUGGAAUCUGGAACUCUCUCUGCCUCUUAACCUCUGUUUUUCUCUCUUUCUUAAUGUCUAGAGAAUUUUUGGAACCUAAGAAAGAGAGAGAGAAAGCCAGGGUUGCUGAUGGCUAUUUUUGGACGCCUAUGGUGGUAUAUCGGCCGAUCUGAAUAGAGCAAAGGGGAUGGGUAGAUCGGAGUGAAGGAAGGCUUUGAGUUAGAAGGUAUGAUCUUUUGAGAAAAGGAAAUGGAAAAGCAGAGGACCAAUUUGUGGCUUCGAUGUUUUCUUUCAGCUCACACGACAGCUUUGUCGUGGUUCCAUUGCUGAUCUAUGAAGAAAUAGUAGAGUAAUAUGAACCACCGAGUGGUUCCAUUUUUAUAUUUAGAGCCCAAAGAUUUUGGUACACAGUUUGCAAUUCGUGAUUAACCCAAGAAAUCCUCCAAAUCAAAAGCCCAAAAUGUUAUGACAACCCAGUCCUAUAUAUGUUUCACAAAAUUCCCCAGAGAACACAAAGGAAAAGAUCUUGAUAAAUAUAUCUAAGAUGUCAAUGGCGUACUUCUUCUUCUCUCCUCAAAUUAUUGUUAUAAGGUGCAAUGAAGCAACGUGCCUCAAAGGACAUAUUUGUUAAAAUAGGAGGCUUUGUUCUUUGAGCUAUGGAAAUGGUGGAAAAUUAGAUGAAACUCAAAUGCGAUUGACACUAGAGACAACGUGAUCAACCAUUAUUCACAAUGCAUGGAAUCAAACUUAGUUCCUUAAAAUUUUGAUGAGUUCGUGGCCAUGUUUAGGGAGAAAAAUUGUGCCCAAUUAUAUAGCUACACAUAUGAUAUCAAGCUAGACCAAACUAAUGAGCCAUAAUGGAUUGAGGAAUGCUGGUGAAUUUGUUAUGUGGGCUGGAGGAAAAGAUUGAUGCUUCCCUUGAGGUUCUUAUCUUAUUAUUGCUAAGGAGGAAUUGUGGGAUGCUGUCACAUAUGAGGCUGUUGCUUUGGUUAAAACCAAUCUAGGAGCUGGAACAGGUAGCAAAGAGGUUGAUGUAUGAAGCAUACCAAAGAGGUUGUGCAGGAUCAAAGAGAUUCCUCACAUUAGAUGUGGAAGCACCCUUCCUUGGCUUGAUACUAAGGUUUGGUUUUCUACAACAGUGGAAGAUGAAGUGCAAUAAAAUCAAGUGGUUCACAAUGAUAGAAAAUCAUAGUGUUGUGCUAUUGAAGGUUAGAGAUGUAAACAAACUCAUUAGAAUGUGAAUGUGUACUACAUACUAUCACCUUCUAGCAUAGAGCUAUAUCUGAAAGCUUAGUUUCUAUGGGGGUUGAAUUUAGCUAGAAAACAUGCCUUGUUUUUUGAUUUUGUUAAGAACCAUUGGCUAAAGUCAACUAUGAUUACAAGGUAGACAUAGUGCUUGCGGUGGAUGCGUCUAACUAUAUUUGACAGUGAUACUUUGUCAAGGUGUUUUAAAUUUCAUC
This is a long non-coding RNA of Quercus robur (English oak), 1463 nucleotides long. RefSeq lists it as uncharacterized. Lineage: Eukaryota; Viridiplantae; Streptophyta; Magnoliopsida; Fagales; Fagaceae. The transcript is spliced from 7 exons. The record is from RefSeq and is a predicted model, not a curated record.